RNAcentral lists this ribosomal RNA (497 nucleotides) under uncultured bacterium. RNAcentral's name for it is "partial 16S ribosomal RNA". It matches the Rfam family "Bacterial small subunit ribosomal RNA", at positions 28 to 507 of the family's 1533-position model. The record is from RNAcentral.
GAUGAACGCUGGCGGCGUGCCUAAUACAUGCAAGUCGAGCGAACAGACGAGGAGCUUGCUCCUCUGACGUUAGCGGCGGACGGGUGAGUAACACGUGGAUAACCUACCUAUAAGACUGGGAUAACUUCGGGAAACCGGAGCUAAUACCGGAUAAUAUAUUGAACCGCAUGGUUCAAUAGUGAAAGACGGUUUUGCUGUCACUUAUAGAUGGAUCCGCGCCGCAUUAGCUAGUUGGUAAGGUAACGGCUUACCAAGGCAACGAUGCGUAGCCGACCUGAGAGGGGGAACGGCCACACUGGAACUGAGACACGGGCCGGACUCCUAAGGGAGGGAGCAGUAGGGAAUCUUCCGCAAUGGGCGAAAGCCUGACGGAGCAACGCCGGGGGAGUGAUGAAGGUCUUCGGAUCGGAAAACUCUGUUAUUAGGGAAAAACAAAUGUGGAAGGAACUGUGCACAGCUUGACGGUACCUAAUCAGAAAGGCACGGCUAACUACGUG